AAUAAUAAUAAUAAUAGCAGAGAUCAAUGAUAUAUCUAAUAUGAUCCACGAAGUAUAAACAAUAUUUCUUAUUUUAAGACUAAAUAUCAAUUUAAAUUGCAUAAUAAAAAGACAAUAGAAAAAACUAUGACUUAUAUUAACAAUACUUACUGUUUACAUAUGCAAUAGCAUGCAAACAGUCUCCAUUCCUGAGGAUAGUAACUCGGAAAGAAGCUGAAGUUACAAUAACACAUAAAGAAGAAAAGUAGAAAGAGUUAUCAGGUGCAUAGAUAACCUUUACAAAGAAAUCCACACCAUAGAAAGAUCUUUACACAGAUAAGACACACUAGCUUGAAGAAUAUUACAUGAAUAAGAAAAGAGAAAGAGAAAGAGCAAGAGCAGGAAAGACUCGCAGAGCAAGAGAGGCUUCUACUAAGCAAGAGGAGAGCGAGAUGCUGAGAGAGUGUGUUGCAAAAGAUGCAAGCUCGUUUUUUAUGAUGCCUUCUUCGUUGUACUUCGUUCGCCUUUUUUAGGGGACGAACUUCAAACGAAUUUAGCUGGAUUAGAGUAUGAGGCCAGGUGGAAAAGGAAAAGAUUCCUUCAGUCGGCUGAAUAGCGAGACAGCUGGAAGAUUGCUUUGGAUAGGUGGAAAGUUGAAAGAUUCUUUUGGUCUUCAGAUGUGACCUUAAUGGUUGCUUUAUAAAGUUUUCCAGGGCUGAUUGGCUGCUAGCUGUGAUGGAUUGUCGUCUUUCGUCGGCUAUUGAAGUGAUAUUGUCGGUGGAGCUGCUUUACGUACAACUUUAUGUACAGUGACAACAGCUUUAUGUACAACAACUUUAUUGACAACAACUUUAUGGCAGCAACUUUAUGUACAGUGAUGACAUGUGGUACUUUAUGUACAGUGAUGACAGGUGGUAGAUUCCUUCUUCUUUAUCUACAGGUAAUUUUGUCGGCCGCUUUAUUUCGGGUCUUCGGGUUAGAACUGCGGCCUCUAGCUAAACUCAUCAUCAUCUUCAUUUUCUGUCUGAGAUGCUGAAUUCUCUUCAGAUUCUUCUUCGAAAAUGUGCAGAAGUUGCUUUUCCAACUCUUCCUUGAUGGCUUUAGGGUUUAGUUUGCGCAUUCUCUUAACAUAGUCAGAAAACUGAGUUAAGAGUUUCAUUGGGAGAAUUAUAUUAAGGAUUAUUUGGGGAUAGGUCUAGUAUUCUUUUUAAUUUUAUAAACUCAGGCUCCAGAUACGUAGUAUAAAAAACAACCCACCAUUUUAUGAAAAUUCUUUUCCCAAUCUAGGGAUAUAUUCAAAAGUAUCAUCAUUAUUUUCUGAGAUUCCAUACUCCCACUUAACAAUCCAAGGAAUCUGAUAUAUUGACAUAAAGUAUAAAUGAUAAUCUAUAUUUAUAUUUUUACCAUUAUAUUCGGCAAACUUUCCCAGAGAUAAUUGCACCUUUUCGAGCAAUAUUUGUGAUCUUGAUCCAAUAUCGAAACCAACUGGGAAAUGGUUCAAAAAUUGGCAUUUUAAAUUGCACAAAUCAAGUAUGGGAAUAAUUCGUAUUUUGAUAUGCAAAUAUUUUGUGCCAAGCAUCAAUGUAUUCAGAAUAUUUAAAAUACCUAUUUGGGAACUCUGGAUUCUGUAAUUUUUUUCCACAAGUAGUAGGAUAAUAUUUUCCGUAUUUGCAAUUUGCUAUAUUAAAUCGUCUUUGUAUUGUUAUGAUAGAAAUGAACAAGAGAAAUUGAGUCAGUUUCUAGUAGAAUGGCUUCAUACCAUUCUCUAGAUUUAUUUCCAAUGGAUGAGCUCAGAUGGUUUAAAAGGUAUAGGGAGGCUAGCUUAUUUGGGUCGGUCUUUAUAUAUUUAUCAUCGAUAAUGAUAUCAAUGAGGAAAGAAGUUUCCUCAAAAACCGAUUUUCCAUAGCUUGAUACUUUAUUUGGGACAGGAGAGGUUAUGAGUCUGGGGUUUGGACUUGUUGGAAUUUGAUUGGAAUAGUCAGAAUAAUUUUGUAUUGAUCUAAUUGGUGACAAAGGUGGAUAGCUGGUUAUAGGUGAGCCUGGUGAUGAUGGUACAAUUUCCAUAGAAAGUUUUCCUUUAUCCAUAUGGAUAUAUUUCUAGAUAAGUUUCUAUUUAUAUUGAAAAGUGACAAAGCCAAAGGCUUUUGCUCUUCCGGUUUGGGGUUAGAGUCUAGAGUCCUUCCCUCCUAGCAAAAAUUCGCGAGUGAGAAAAUCAAGAAGAGAAUUAUGUUUACCACUAAAUUUUGCUCAUCCUAGCCUUGGCGGUCCUCUAGCCUAGGUGUCAAAAAGCUUAACUUUCGGACUAACACUUAAAAUGAGAAAAUUUUAAGAUUCCUAACUCCUAAGUUACUACAAUCACGUGGUAAAACACUAAUGGCCAUUCUUCAAUGGCACUGAUACCAAUUGACACCUAGAUCUAAAAAACAUAAAUUAACAUAAGAAAAGGAGCACUAUACGUUACUAAUCUAUUUUAGAUUCCAAAAAGAAAUAAUAAUAAUAAUAGCAGAGAUCAAUGACAUAUCUAAUAUGAUCCACGAAGUAUAAACAAUAUUUCUUAUUUUAAGACUAAAUAUCAAUUUAAAUUGCAUAAUAAAAAGACAAUAGACAAAACUAAAACUUAUGUCAACAACACUUACUGUUUACAUACGCAAUAGCUUGCAAACAGUCUCCAUUUCUGAGGAUAGUAACUCGGAAAGGAGCUGAAGUUACAAUCACACAUAAAGAAGAAAAAUAGAAAGAGUUACCAGGUGUAGAGAUAACCUUUACUAAGAAAUCCACACCUUAGAAAGAUCUUAACACAGAUAAGACACACCAGCUUGAAGAAUAUUACAUUAUAAAGAAAAGAGAAAGAGAAAGAGCAAGAGCAGGAAAGACUCACAGAGCAAGAGAGGCUUCUGCAAAGCAAGAGGAGAGCGGGAUGCUGAGAGAGUGAGUUGCAGAAGAUGCAAGCUCGUUUUAGAUGAUGCCUUCUUCGUUGUGCUUCGUUCGCCUUUUAUAGGGGAUGGACUUCCAACGGAUUUAGCUGGAUUAGAGUAUGAGGCCAGGUGGAAAAGGAAAAGAUUCUUUAGGUCGGUUGAAUAGCGAGACAGCUAGAAGAUAGCUUUGGACGGAUGGAAAGUUGGAAGAUUCGUUCGGUCUUCAGAUGUGAUCUUAAUGGUUGCUUUAUAAAGUUUUCCAGGGCUGAUUGGCUGCAAGCUGUGAUGGAUUGUCGUCUUUUGUCGGCUAUUGAUGUGAUAUUGUCGAUGGAACUGCUUUAGGUACAACUUUAUGUAUAGUGACAACAACUUUAUGUACAACAACUUUAUCGACAGCAACUUUAUGUACAGUGAUGACAGGUGGUUGAUUCCUUCUUCUUUAAGUACAGGUAAUUUUGUCGACCACUUUCUUUCGGGUCCUCAGGUCGGAACUGCAGCCGCUAGCUAAACUCAUCAUCAUCUUCAUUUUAUGUCUGAGAUGUUGAAUUCUCUUCAGAUUCUUCUUAAAAAAUGUGUAGAAGUUGCCUUUCCAACUCUUCCUUGUUGGCUUUAAGGUUUAGUUUGCGCAUUUUCUUAACAUAGUUAGAAAACUGAGUAAGGGUUUCAUUGGGAGAAUCAUAUUGGGGAUUAUUUAGGGAUAAUUCUGAUAUUCUUUUUAAUUUUAUAAACUCGGGUUCCAGAUGCUUACUAUCAAAAACAUCCCACCAUUUUAUGAAUAUUCUUUUUCCCAAUCUAGGGAUAUAUUCAAAAGUAUUAUCAUUAUUCUCUGAGAUUCCAUACUCCCACUUAACAAUCCAAGGAAUCUGAUAAAUUGACAUAAAGUACAAAUGAUAAUCUAGAUUUUAUUUUUGCCAUUAUAUUCGGCAAACGUUCCUUGAGAUAAUUGCACCUUUUCGGGCAAUAUUUGUGAUCCUGAUCCCCAUAUAAGGAACCAGUAUCGAAACCAACUGGGAAAUGGUUCAAAAAUUAGCAUUUUAAAUUGCACAAACCAAGUAUGGGAAUAAUGCGUAUUUUGAUAUGCACAUAUUUUUUGCCAAGCAUCAAUGUAUUCAGAAUAUUUAAAAUAUCUAUUUGGGAACUCUGGAUUCUGUAAUUUUUUUCCACAAGUAGGGUUACAACCCCAAUCAUCAUAAGAUAAUAUUUUCCUUAUUUGCAAUUUGCUAUAUCCAAUCGUCUUUGUAUUGUUAUGAUAGAAAUGAACAAGGGAAAUUGAGUCAGUUUCUAGUAGAAUGGCUUCAUACCAUUCUCUAGAUUUAUUUCCAUUGGAUGAGCUCAGAUGGUUUAAAAGGUAUAGGGAGGCUAGCUUAUUUGGGUCGGUCUUUAUAUAUUUAUCAUCGAUAAUGAUAUCAAUGAGGAUAGUAGUUUCCUCAAAAACAGAAUUUCUAGAGUUUGAUACUUUAUUUAGGACAGGAGAGGUUAUGAGUCUUGGGUUUGGACUUGUUGGAAUUUGACUGGAAUAGUCAGAAUAAUUUUGUAUUGAUCUAAUUGGUGACAAAGGUGGAUGGCUGGUUAUAGGUGAGCCUAGUGAUGAUGGUACAAUUUCCAUCGGAAGUUUUCCUUUAUCCUUAGUAGAUAUAUUUCUUGAUAUGUUUCUAUUUAUAUUGAAAAGUUAUAAAGCCAAAGGCUUUUGCUCUUCCGGUUUGGGGUUAGAGUCUAGAGUCCUUCCCUCCCAACAAAAUUUCGCGUGUGAGAAAAUCAGGAAGAGAAUUAUGUUUACCACUAAAUUUUGCUCAUCCUAGCCUUGGCGGUCCUCUAGCCUGGGUGUCAGAAAGCUUAACUCUCGGACUAACUCUUAAAAUGAGAAAAUUUUAAGAUUCCUAACUCCUAAGUUACUACAAUCACGUGGUAAAACACUAAUGGCCAUUCUUAAGUGGCACUGAUACCAAUUGACACCAAGAUCUAAAAAACUUAAAUUAACAAAAGAAAAGAAGCUCUAUACGUUACUAAUCUAUUUAUGAUUCCAAAAGGUAAUAAUAAUAAUAAUAGCAGAGAUCAAUGAUAUAUCUAAUGUCAUCCACGAAGUAUAAACAAUAUUUCUUAUUUUAAAACUAAAUAUCAAUUUAAAUUGAAUAAUAAAAAGACAAUAGACAAAACUAAAACUUAUGUCAACAACACGUACUGUUUACAUAUGCAAUAGCUUGCAAACAGUCUCCAUUCCUGAGGAUAGUAACUCGGAAAGGAGCUGAAGUUACAAUCACACAUAAAGAAG
Molecule: long non-coding RNA, 5163 nt
Filed under: Amborella trichopoda
Lineage: Eukaryota; Viridiplantae; Streptophyta; Magnoliopsida; Amborellales; Amborellaceae
Description: long non-coding RNA (ATRI_LNC002162)
Source: RNAcentral